CAGACUUCACAUAUCUGUUAUCAUUAUAGGAAAUGUAAGCUCAAGAUUAUCUUAUCAACUUAGAAACAUAUUCCCCUUAUGCAAACUCUACUGGAAUGUUGCAUCAUUAAAAUGGAAAAUAAAUUAUAAGAAGCUGAAAUGCAACAAGUUAGAUAUUACAAUGUCACAAUGGAAAGGAAAGUAAGAUUGAAUUGUGGCUAAGAUAAGAGGAACAUAUACGUGGUCAUCUGUUAUACAGAUUCAUGUUUACGUCAACCUAAUCAUUAUGAUGUCCUUUAAAUUUUCGAAAUAGUUGUAUGAUCAAAUGACUAUUACAUAAC
This 320-nucleotide long non-coding RNA is filed under the name Mytilus galloprovincialis (Mediterranean mussel). The record is from RNAcentral. Lineage: Eukaryota; Metazoa; Mollusca; Bivalvia; Mytilida; Mytilidae.